AAAGAAUGAGAUCUUGCCAUUUGUGACAAAAUUGAUAGACCUAGAGGGUAUUAUGCGAGGUGAAAUAAAUCGGAGAAUGACAAAUAAAUACCAUCUGAUUUCACUUAGAUGUGGAAUAAAAAAAAACCAAACAAGUCAACAAACAGAAUCAUAACUACAGAGGACACAUUGGUGGUUGGUAGAGGGGAGGUGGGUAGAAAGUAAGGACAAAAUAGGUGAAGAGGAGGAAGAGGUACAAAUUCCAGUUAUAAAAUAGGUAAGUCACAGGAAUGAAGAAUACAGUAUAUGAAAUAUCGUCAAUAAUAUUGUAUUAAUGUUGUAUGGUGACAGAGGGUAACUACACAUACGGUAGUGAGCAUAGCAUAGUGUCUACAAUUGUCCAAUCUGAAUUUGUAUACUGAAAUGAGUGUAACAUUGUCUGUCAACUAUACUUCAAUUAAAGAUAGGUAUUAGGGAAAACAGUCUCUGAAAAUAUUGGGAAACAUGUCAGCCAAAACAUUUGUCCUCACACCUACAUUUGUAAAGACAUUGGAAUCCUUAUCACCAGUGUUGAUUAUGUUCAGUACGCUCUUUUGGAGCCCGUUUGGGGCAUUCAGGGAGAGGCUACCUUGUAUAAGAAAGAUCUAAAUAAGAACAUUGUAGAUAGGAACAGUUGUAAUAUACAGUUGACCCUUGACCAACAUGGUUUCGAACUGUGCGGGUCUAUUUACUUACACAUGGAUUAUUUUUGGAUACUGUAUAGUACUGUAAGUGUAUUUCCUCUUCCUUCUGUUUUUUUCAGUGUCAUUUUUUUGCCCUGGCUUAUUCCACUGUACAAAACAUGUACGAAUCAACUGUUUUAUGUUACCGAUGAAGCGGGAGAUGGAGAAAGGAGUACCAGAGCACCAGAAGCUGCUACGGAAUUUGAACGAGGACCCUAUAGAUCUCCUUUAGUAUCUACUGAUGAUUCAAUUCUAAAUCAAGAUCCAGUAUGGAAAGUGUCACGAAAAUAUGUACAGAUUUCGAACAAAAAUUAUCUGAUUUGAAAAAUAAAUAGAAACAAUUUACUGGGUGCUUACAAAACAUUGUCAUUGUUUCCCAAUUCAUCACACUAUAUGGAAAAAUCUUGAUUAAAGGAAAAUGUUUUUGUG
Molecule: long non-coding RNA, 1130 nt
Organism: Felis catus (domestic cat)
Lineage: Eukaryota; Metazoa; Chordata; Mammalia; Carnivora; Felidae
Exons: 3
Source: RefSeq, a predicted model, not a curated record